UAGCAGCUCACUCUUCAGUGCUUUAAGCAAAUGAUCCUCAGGAAAGAAAAGGUAUUUGCUUAUUGCAGGUGCAAAGAGGCUCAGAUUGGAACUUUUCCCUGAAGCUGUAUUGUAGCCCAGAGUUCCUGAUGUAAGAUGCUUUAUUUAAAGACAUCCGUGAGCUUUUUCACUGGCAUAUCAAUACUUCAUAACACUAGGAAGGUUGAAGAUUAUUCUCUCUUCUAAAGAAAAUAGAAGAAUAUUAGGAGAAAAUACACUUUAAAAUGUUCACUCUUUUAUUCACAUUACAUCAUCUGUCUUGAAUAAUGGGUCUAUCUCUUUCCUGUUGCUCUGGCCCUGAGAAAAAAAUUAGCUUUUUAAGGCUGCUUUUGUUACGUAUGCAUUUUCUUGUAAUCCCGUCAUUCUGGGAUUUAAUAACAAUAGUAUUAAUACCACCUACCAUUUGUUGGUUACUUACUGUGUUUUAGGCACUGUGCUAAACGCCUUCCAUGUAUUCAUCUCAUUAGUAAACAUUUCUGAAACUAUUCUUAC
This 531-nucleotide small RNA is filed under the name Pan troglodytes (chimpanzee). Its description in RNAcentral is "processed transcript". The record is from RNAcentral. Lineage: Eukaryota; Metazoa; Chordata; Mammalia; Primates; Hominidae.